GUAAAAUGUCAUAAGACACCGGAAACACCUACGCGACUGAGGCUCAGUGCGUGCUGGGAGUUGUAGUUUUUUUUUUUUUUUUUUCCGCCACUAUGUUUUUCUUUUUCUUUUGCGAAUACUUAUAGUACUGUACGAACAGUCAGGGAGAUAACCAUCUCCUUCAUGCCUGCCACAGUGAUCAUCUACAUAGUGAUACUCUUCUUCAGUCCAGGUACCAACAUAUUAAGGUUAUCUAUUCAUUGUUACCGAAGGCACCCUAACAUUCAGUACAAGCUCAGACAUGUCAAUGUGACUUUUUCAUCCAGAAAACCAAUAUUUUUAUUUCCACAUGAAUGGCUAAUGUUUCCCUGCCAAGGGUGAAAACAUACAAUACAAACCAUCUGUGAAGAUGUGAACCCUGGUUACAUCAACAUUCACGUUAGUAUUAGUGUUAACUUGAUUUAGAAAACAAAAACUGAGGUCCACAUUGAAAUUUUAUUUCAUGAUAGUGGGGGGUUAUUCAAAUCUAGUGUUGUGAACAUACAAAAUUAACAACUUAUUGGAAAACAUGGUUAAAGUAAAAUAAAUCAUACAAAAUCAUAGUUUAAGUAACAUGUUCUAAACCACAUCAAUCCUAGUUUUUGUCAAUACUGAUUGUUUUAACAACAGAACUACAAUAUUCUCUAUUCAAAGACACUAAAUGUUACAAAUAGUUUGAAGGGAGAGUAUUUAGUUGGCAUGGUGUGUGGUUGAGAAACACAGUUUCAGUGUGUAAGGGUAAGGCCCACCUGGAAGAAGGAAGAAAACACAUUUUAAAAGGACAAUAUGAAGGCUUUAAAAUGUACAGUAAAUCAAAUCAACUACAUGGCCAACUUUUAAGAACCAUGUCUGUAUGUGAAUGUAAUAAGAGGGGAACUUACUAGGAUUUUUCAUCUGGUAAUGGUUCAUCAAAGCUAGGGCUUCCAUGGCAUCAUUGAUGGAUUCCCACUCCAGAAGGCCAGAUGAACUUCGCUCACCUUUCGUGGCACACAAGAUGACUGAUUAGAUCACCAAACUGAAUAAUACUGAACCGUGUUAAUGCCGUGAACUAAAAUAUCAAUAUUCAAAUGUAAUGUAUGUCAUGCAAUUUUAACUAAGUGAAUUCAAAUUAAUUGAGAAUUUUAACCUUUUCUAUAACAUUGACUUAUAGACACUUCAGUAAACAAUAUUUAUGCUGCUGAAACUAAUUAAACAUUUUUCUCUUGGAUCCCAUUUUAAAUGAUCUAGUUAGCAAAUUAUACCUUUCAGAAAGUAAUCUGACGUUUGCUCUGAUUACCUGUCACAUGGAUAGUUUCACAGUAUGUCAAUGCGUUGUUGGCAACUGACUGAGUAUUGCAGAUAAAAUAGAAACUGUAAGGUGUACAUACAGACUGUGCCUUCUGUGUACACUCAAACAAUGUUCCCAGCCCCUGUACUGUAAGUGUAUAGAAAUGGUUUAAUUUUUGUAUUCUUACACACACAUCUACUUAUCCACUCAUUACUUUUUAAAAGUCUAGAAACCAGAAUCAUCAUUAAUAUUGUUCAUCAGAAAAUCAAAGCACUCUUCAACAAAACUGGUUUAUAUUACUGGUCUGGCUGUCAAACAGAGAUUACUCACUCUUUCCAGUGAAAAGUUUGACACUUGUGGGGCUCUUAAUUCCCAGUUCAUCGCAGACCUGGAAGGAAAGACCAGUUACAGUGAGAAUCUGAGGCUGUGGUCUGUGGAACAUGUACACUUCAGAGAGGACCCUGGUAGCUUUUCUGACCUGGUUGAAGAUCUCUACAGAGAUGUCGGGCUGUGCGUUAAAGAAGUGCAAGACGUUGCUGGGGUGUUGGAUUCUGUUCUUGGCCGCCUGCUCUGGGGAGGUGAAGCGGUUGUUGCGGGAUCCAUGGAAAUCUUUGAAGCUGCUGGUGUUGUCCUCUAACUGGUAGCACUGCCCUGGCACAAUAGCCUGCUGCUUGGACACACUGCAGAGGAAACAGGGCCAGAGGUCUUACAGAUCUAGCUCUGCACUUUUAAUAGUCUAUGCUAAGGUUUCGGAAUUGUUGGACAGCUGCUCUUACCAAACGUUGAGUUUCUGUCCGAAAAGGAAGUUGUUGUUGAGGUGAGUGAUGGCCCUGUCCACAGAGUAACAGUCUCCCAUCUCCACCAUUGCUGCUCCUGGCUUACUCUUCAUGAACUUAAUCUGAAGGGAAAAAAACAUCCAGCUGACUCACACAAACAAGAGCAUGAUGCCAGAACUAAUAAUUAUUUUCAUUAUCAGUUAAUCUGUCAGUUUCUUGAUUACCUUUAUUUCAGUCGAAGAAAUGAUAACAAAUAGUGAAAAAAUGGUCUUCCAUUUGCCUGUUUCGUCUGACUAGCAGUUUAAAACCAUGCGGCAACCUCUGGGUUUAAAAAUUAAUUUGUGCAAAAACUGCAGUUCCUCGAAUGGCCACUUGAGGCAGACUCCAAAAGUGAGUCAAUCUCCGUAAGGCCCCAAAUUAAAAACAAUGUUUACAGGCUGGUACGACAACGAUUUUGGUCUCUAUAGCUAAUUUCCCCUCAUGAUAACUGUACGGGCUGGGAAAAACUCCCGUUUAAAUUAUCUGUGUCUGCUUGAGUUCAUUUGGCUCGCCUCAGCUCCAAGUCAUGUCCAAUAGAUUUUGAGUUGAUAGUGAACUGUUUACACUAACUUUUUACUCAUCACAUUAAUGAGCGGUUUAAUGUGGUGUGUAAUGACUGAUGCUCACUUCACUCACCCUCUCUACAUUGCCAUAGAGGCAGAAGAUGUUGAAGACCUUGUCAGCAUUGAUCUUGGAGGGUUCAAGACCAUAUACCAUAAGAACUGGCGAGUCAGCAUGAGGGCCGUAUUCAGGGGGUGGUGGUCCAUAUCCAGGGCCAUAGCGCUGGCUACCACGACCGCGCCCGCCCAUACCUGGCCCCAUGCGGUGGGGAGGAGGGGGACCGUAGUUGUCGUCACUGUAGCCAUGAUAACCUCCUUGAGGGCCACCUUAGAGAGAAAAAUCACAGAUACAGUACAGAUACAGGAUGGAAUAUGACCCAUUCUUCUUAAGAUCAGACCAGUUUCUUUAUUGGAUAUUUACCAUAAUCAGGUGGAUGGUCUCCCAGGAGAGCAGGCUGCCUCUGGCGUUUGUUGGGAUUGGCAUUAGGAUCUAAAAUGGUAAAAUAAAAGUUGCAUAUCAAACAGCUUCCUGGCUAAAAGGUAUCAAACAGGUACCUUACAUGGGCUACAAUGUGCUAAGGGACGAGGCUGUGAUUAACAUGCAACAGAAGGGCCUGACAUCUAAGGUGUAAAACAAAAAAGUCUGCAGGCUCUAUUUUUCUAAUCUAAUAUGUGACAUAAUGGAGAUUUUUGAACAAUGAUUUUGAAAUACAGCUUUCAAACAUUUUUUUAAAGACCUCCUAAAUCAGCCAUCCUAGUACAAACACACACACACACACAGACACACACACACACACCUUGUGAAUUGUUCCAAUUGCCUUCACCAUCAGCAUCUGUGCAGGUACACAUAUACACAUGUCAAAUCCAAAAUGUAUAAAUUUGGCAACACUGUAUAAACAUUUCUUAACAUCCUAGGCAAUUAUAUGGAAUAGAAACAUUCAAGUAGAAAAUCAGAGAGAAAACAUGCAUCAGUGCUAUGAGCAGCACCUGCAGUCUAAGCAUGUUUUAUUGAAAACUAGGAGAACUAUACAGUUAUCACAAACCACCAUAAGACACAGGUAUAACAUUAGAAGUGAAUAGACAUCAGGACUGACGGAUUGACUAGAUUACAUUGUGGAAGAGAAAAAAAUUAAACCCAAAUUGUUGACUGGGUUCAAUUCAUCAACAGAAAAUACGUACUGACAUACUCCAUAGUAGCCCUUUUUUUUGUUUUGUUUUUUUUAAAGCUCUCUAGAAGCAUAAGUCAACAAAACCCAGGGGUUAAUUUUUGCAUCAACAGCCACCCGGUUUAUAGAGGCCACUUCCUAACGUUUUAAUUAUGAAAAGCAUUUCAUGUUCUCAUUUCAAAUUGAGUUAUUUUCAAUAAAUAUUUCAUUCUGGUUAUGAA
This is a long non-coding RNA of Dicentrarchus labrax (European seabass), 4047 nucleotides long. RefSeq lists it as uncharacterized. The record is from RefSeq and is a predicted model, not a curated record. Lineage: Eukaryota; Metazoa; Chordata; Actinopteri; Moronidae. The transcript has 2 exons.